This 417-nucleotide ribosomal RNA is filed under the name uncultured bacterium. RNAcentral describes it as "bacterial SSU rRNA". It matches the Rfam family "Bacterial small subunit ribosomal RNA", at positions 335 to 740 of the family's 1533-position model. The record is from RNAcentral.
ACUCCUACGGGAGGCAGCAGUGGGGAAUAUUGCACAAUGGGCGCAAGCCUGAUGCAGCCAUGCCGCGUGUAUGAAGAAGGGCCUUCGGGUUGAUAAAGUACUUUCAGCAGUGAGGAAGGUGGGUAUGUUAAUAGCAUAUUCAUUUGACGUUAGCAUGCAGAAAGAAGCACCGGCUAACUCCGUGCCAGCAGCCGCGGUAAUACGGAGGGUGCGAGCGUUAAUCGGAAUUACUGGGCGUAAAGCGCAUGCAGGUGGUUUGUUAAGUCAGAUGUGAAAGCCCGGGGCUCAACCUCGGAAUUGCAUUUGAAACUGGCAAACUAGAGUACUGUAGAGGGGGGUAGAAUUUCAGGUGUAGCGGUGAAAUGCGUAGAGAUCUGAAGGAAUACCGGUGGCGAAGGCGGCCCCCUGGACAGAUAC